GGAACAACCUGCUCGACUCGCUGGAGCCACCUGCCGGACAUGCCAAAAUCAGCUGCCGGCUAUGCCAGAACCACUUGCCGGACACUCCAAAAUCACCUGCCUGGCGUGCCGGAACCACCUCUCAUACGUACCAGAACCACGUGCAGGAGACGCCGGAAGCACCUGCCGAGCAUGCCAGAACCACCUGAUCCACUCCCCAGAACCACCUGCUGGACCCGCCUGAACCAACUGCCGGCUACGCGGGAACCACUUGGCGGACACUCCGGAAUCACCUGCUGUGCAUGCCGGAACCACCCCUCAGACGUGCCUGAAAAACGUGCCGGACACGCCGGAACCAACUCCUGGACUAACCGGAACCACCUUUCGGACAUGCCUGAACCACCUUACGAGCACGCUGGAAACACCUGCUCGACUCGCUGGAACCAGCUGCUGGAUACACCAAAAUGACCUGCCGGCUACGCCAAAACCACUUGCUGACACUCCAGAAUAACCUGCCAUUCAUCCCGGAACCGCCCCUCAGAUGUGCCAGAACCAGGUGCUUGACGCCCCAGACCACUUCCGUGAAAGACUGGAACCACCUGCUGAGCAUUCUGGAAAUACCUGCUCGACUCCCAGGAACCUCCUCUGGGCAAACUGUCAUAGAAAUGCAGGAAACUGAGAAGGAACUCGCUUUCAACAGUGAUCUUACAGAGUCCAGGGAACAUCUCAUACAAAGGCAGCUGAAACGCCGUUUCUUUUCAGCCCUUAACUUGCCGAUUUGGAACUUCUGUUUCUGCCACAUUUCCACCUUGCCAUCCGGGCUCCGACGAAAUGCCUAAAUCUUCCCCUUCAGCGACGGGGACGAGGCCCAGAUGACUGUGCUUCCGCAUGCUUAGCAGGAGCAGACAAUAGGCUUUUUACAAACAGCCAUUGUGCACUGGGUCAGAGAGUGUCAGAAUUGACCUAUGUCAGAAAGGUCCCUUUGCACUCAGCCGUGCCCUCCAUUGCUGUAGAGGUGGAAGGCAAAAAGCACUGCCUCCAUCCUUCAAUGGGAGACAAGACAUCAACUGUCUUGCCUGCAGCUCUUUAGGAAGCUGACAAACAACUCGCUUUCCACAGUCCUGUUACAGCAGACCGGGGAACUUCUCAUACAAAGGCAGCUCAAAUGGCAUUUAUACCCAGCCCUUAACUCGCAGCUUUAGGACUUCUUUUUCUGCCGCAAUUCCACCUUGCCAACCCGGCUCAGACGAAAUGCCUACAUCUUCCCCUGAAGCAACUGGGCUGAGUCCCAAAUGAUUGAGCGUCCAUGUGCUUAGGAGGAGAAGACUCCACGCCUUUUUCCAACAACCAUUGUGCAAUGCUGGAGAGAGUGUCGGAAAGCAGCUAUGUCAGAAAGACCCCUUUGCUCUCAGCUGUGCCCUUCAUUGCUCUAGACGUGGAAUGCACAAUGCACUGGCUCCCCCCCUCCAGGGGCGACAAGACACAGACCAUCUUCCUUCCAUCUCUUUAGGAAGCUGAGCAAGAACUCGCUUUCAACAGUGCUCUUUGUGUGUCCUGGCAACAUCUCAUACAAAGGCAGCUGAUAUGCCAUUUCUUUUCAGCGCUUAACUCGCAGAUUUGGAACUUCUGCUCCUGCCACAUUUCCACCUUGCCAACGCGGCUCAGACGAAAUGUCUACAUCUUCCCCUUCAGCAACGGGGACGAGGCCCAGAUGACUGUGCUUCCGCAUGCUUAGCAGGGGCAGACAAUAGGCUUUUUACACACCGCCAUUGUGCACUGGGUCAGAGAGUGUCAGAAUGCACCUAUGUCAGAAAGGGCCCUUUGCUCUCAGCCGUGCCCUCCAUUGCUCUAGAGGUGGAAGGCACAAAACACUUCUUCCAUCCUUCAAUUGGAGGCAAGCCAUCAACUGUCCUGCUUCCAGCUCUUUAGGAAGCUGGGAAAGCACUCGCAUUCCACAGUGGGCUUACAGCGUUCUGGGAACUUCUCAUACAAAGGCAGCUGAAGACAGUGUCUUUUCAGCCCUUAACUCACCAAUCUGCAACAUCUGGUUCUGCCGCAUUUCCAGCUUGCCAACCCGGCUCAGACGAAAUGCCUACAUCUUCCCCUGAAGCAACUGUGCUGAUUCCCAAAUGAUUGAGCAUCCACAUGCUUAGGAGGCGAUAAACUGCAUGCCUUUUCCCAACCACCAUUUUACACUGCUUAGAGAGCGUCGGAAUGCAGCUAUGUCAGAAAGGCCCCUUUGCUCUCAGCCAUGCCCUCCAUUGCUCUCGAGGUGGAAGGCACAAUGCACUGGUUCUGGAUCCACCCCUCAAUGGGAGAGAAAUCACAUCUUGUCCUGCUUCCAGCUCUUUAGGAAGUGGAGAAAAAACUCCCUUUCCACAGUGCUCUUACAGCAUCCUGGGAACAUCUCAUACAAAGGAGGCUGAACGCCGUUUCUUUUCAGCACUUCACUCGCCAGUCUGGGACAUCUGCAUCCUGCACAUUUCCACCUUGCCAACCCGGCUCAGACGAAAUGCCUACAUCUUCCCCUUGAGCAAUGGGGAUGAGGCCCAUAUGAUUGUGGUUCCACAUGCUGAGGAGGAGAGAGACAAUAGGCUUUUA
RNAcentral lists this long non-coding RNA (2580 nucleotides) under Equus caballus (horse). Its description in RNAcentral is "lncRNA (ENSECAG00000044772.1)". The record is from RNAcentral. Lineage: Eukaryota; Metazoa; Chordata; Mammalia; Perissodactyla; Equidae.